UACGUAGGGGGCAAGCGUUGUCCGGAUUUAUUGGGCGUAAAGAGCGUGUAGGCGCCAGGGAGGUCCGUUGUGAAAACUCGAGGCUCAACCUCGAGACGCCGAUGGAAACCCCCUGGCUAGAGUCCGGAAGAGGAGAAUGGAAUUCCUGGUGUAGCGGUGAAAUGCGCAGAUAUCAGGAAGAACACCCGUGGCUAAGGCGGUUCUCUAGUACGGUACUGACGCUGAGACGCGAAAGCGUGGGGAGCGAAACAGG
Molecule: ribosomal RNA, 253 nt
Filed under: uncultured bacterium
Lineage: Bacteria
Description: partial 16S ribosomal RNA
Rfam family: Bacterial small subunit ribosomal RNA
Source: RNAcentral